RNAcentral lists this ribosomal RNA (434 nucleotides) under uncultured Lachnospiraceae bacterium. RNAcentral describes it as "partial 16S ribosomal RNA". It matches the Rfam family "Bacterial small subunit ribosomal RNA", at positions 341 to 792 of the family's 1533-position model. Lineage: Bacteria; Bacillati; Bacillota; Clostridia; Lachnospirales; Lachnospiraceae. The record is from RNAcentral.
ACGGAAGGCAGCAGUGGGGAAUAUUGGACAAUGGGGGAAACCCUGAUCCAGCGACGCCGCGUGAGUGAAGAAGUAUUUCGGUAUGUAAAGCUCUAUCAGCAGGGAAGAUGAUGACGGUACCUGACUAAGAAGCCCCGGCUAACUACGUGCCAGCAGCCGCGGUAAUACGUAGGGGGCAAGCGUUAUCCGGAUUUACUGGGUGUAAAGGGAGCGUAGGCGGCCAGACAAGUCAGAUGUGAAAACCCUGGGCUUAACCCGGGACCUGCAUUUGAAACUGUAGGGCUAGAGUACUGGAGAGGCAAGUGGAAUUCCUAGUGUAGCGGUGAAAUGCGUAGAUAUUAGGAAGAACACCAGUGGCGAAGGCGACUUGCUGGACAGAGACUGACGCUGAGGCUCGAAAGCGUGGGGAGCAAACAGGAUUAGAUACCCUGGUA